This 718-nucleotide ribosomal RNA is filed under the name Lutibacter sp. RNAcentral describes it as "bacterial SSU rRNA". It matches the Rfam family "Bacterial small subunit ribosomal RNA", at positions 28 to 737 of the family's 1533-position model. The record is from RNAcentral. Lineage: Bacteria; Pseudomonadati; Bacteroidota; Flavobacteriia; Flavobacteriales; Flavobacteriaceae.
GAUGAACGCUAGCGGCAGGCUUAACACAUGCAAGUCGAGGGGUAACAGGGAGAAGCUUGCUUUUCCGCUGACGACCGGCGCACGGGUGCGUAACGCGUAUAGAACCUACCUUUUACAGAGGAAUAGCCCAGAGAAAUUUGGAUUAAUGCCUCAUAGUAUUAUAGAAUGGCAUCAUUUUAUAAUUAAACAUUUAUGGGUAAAAGAUGGCUAUGCGUUCUAUUAGCUAGUUGGUAAGGUAACGGCUUACCAAGGCUACGAUAGAUAGGGGUCCUGAGAGGGAGAUCCCCCACACUGGUACUGAGACACGGACCAGACUCCUACGGGAGGCAGCAGUGAGGAAUAUUGGACAAUGGAGGCAACUCUGAUCCAGCCAUGCCGCGUGCAGGAAGACGGCCCUAUGGGUUGUAAACUGCUUUUAUAUAGGAAGAAACCUUUCCACGUGUGGAAAGCUGACGGUACUAUAAGAAUAAGCACCGGCUAACUCCGUGCCAGCAGCCGCGGUAAUACGGAGGGUGCAAGCGUUAUCCGGAAUCAUUGGGUUUAAAGGGUCCGUAGGCGGACUAAUAAGUCAGGGGUGAAAUCCAACAGCUUAACUGUUGAACUGCCUUUGAUACUGUUAGUCUUGAAUUAUAUGGAAGUAGAUAGAAUGUGUAGUGUAGCGGUGAAAUGCUUAGAGAUUACACAGAAUACCGAUUGCGAAGGCAGUCUACUACGUAUA